AGUGAACGCUGGCGGUAGGCCUAACACAUGCCAGUCGAACGGCAGCACAGUAAGAGCUUGCUCUUACGGGUGGCGAGUGGCGGACGGGUGAGGAAUACAUCGGAAUCUACUUUUUCGUGGGGGAUAACGUAGGGAAACUUACGCUAAUACCGCAUACGACCUACGGGUGAAAGCAGGGGAUCUUCGGACCUUGCGCGUUUGAAUGAGCCGAUGUGGGAUUAGCUAGUUGGCGGGGUAAAGGCCCACCAAGGCGACGAUCCGUAGCUGGUCUGAGAGGAUGAUCAGCCACACUGGAACUGAGACACGGUCCAGACUCCUACGGGAGGCAGCAGUGGGGAAUAUUGGACAAUGGGGGCAAGCAUGAUCCAGCCAUACCGCGUGGGUGAAGAAGGCCUUCGGGUUGUAAAGCCCUUUUGUUGGGAAAGAAAAGCAGCAGGUUAAUACCCCGCUGUUCUGACGGUACCCAAAGAAUAAGCACCGGCUAACUUCGUG
RNAcentral lists this ribosomal RNA (492 nucleotides) under uncultured bacterium. RNAcentral's name for it is "partial 16S ribosomal RNA". It matches the Rfam family "Bacterial small subunit ribosomal RNA", at positions 29 to 507 of the family's 1533-position model. The record is from RNAcentral.